UACGGAAGGUCCGGGCGUUAUCCGGAUUUAUUGGGUUUAAAGGGAGCGUAGGCCGGCUUUUAAGUCAGCUGUGAAAGUCCGCGGCUCAACCGUGGAAUUGCAGUUGAAACUGGAGGCCUUGAGUGCACACAGGGGUGCCGGAAUUCAUGGUGUAGCGGUGAAAUGCUUAGAUAUCACGCAGAACCCCGAUUGCGAAGGCAGCAUACCGGCGCCCUACUGACGCUGAGGCACGAAAGUGCGGGUAUCGAACAGG
This 253-nucleotide ribosomal RNA is filed under the name uncultured Prevotellaceae bacterium. Its description in RNAcentral is "partial 16S ribosomal RNA". It matches the Rfam family "Bacterial small subunit ribosomal RNA", at positions 524 to 776 of the family's 1533-position model. The record is from RNAcentral. Lineage: Bacteria; Pseudomonadati; Bacteroidota; Bacteroidia; Bacteroidales; Prevotellaceae.